AGCAGACAUGGAUCCAAAGGCCUGGUCACCUCAGACUGCUUAGAAGUUGCUUUAUAUGGUGGAUUAUUAUAUACCACCUACGGAAGUUAAUCAAGAUAAGGCUUUGGUGGGCAAUAAACAGAUUCCAGAAAGACCUUACCAGGGAAGUCAGACCAGCUUGGGGACAGAAUGCCACUGCAAAAACGUUUACUGCUUGUCACUGUGCACUGUAGUCCUCAAAGCAUCCUCCGUAUCCUGAAGAUGGACAGCCUGUUGGUCACGGCUACACACAGGUGAGGGCGGAGAAAUGGGCCAUGCAAACACCUCUUCUUCCUAAGUUUCCUGAUAUCGUCAGCUCAUAUACAGGACAACCACUGGGCAGGAAGCACUGGGCAUGUCCUGCAUGA
Molecule: long non-coding RNA, 386 nt
Organism: Arvicola amphibius (Eurasian water vole)
Lineage: Eukaryota; Metazoa; Chordata; Mammalia; Rodentia; Cricetidae
Exons: 3
Source: RefSeq, a predicted model, not a curated record